RNAcentral lists this transfer RNA (65 nucleotides) under Murdochiella vaginalis. It matches the Rfam family "tRNA". From Rfam's summary of the family: Transfer RNA (tRNA) molecules are approximately 80 nucleotides in length. Their secondary structure includes four short double-helical elements and three loops (D, anti-codon, and T loops). The record is from RNAcentral. Lineage: Bacteria; Bacillati; Bacillota; Tissierellia; Tissierellales; Peptoniphilaceae. RNAcentral also lists the same sequence under 1 other name.
GGCAUAGUUCAGUGGUAGAACGUCGGUCUCCAAAACCGAAUGUCGGGGGUUCGAGUCCUCUUGCC